UGACCUCCUUAGUACCCUUCAGUGGGAAGUC
RNAcentral lists this non-coding RNA (31 nucleotides) under Rattus norvegicus (Norway rat). Lineage: Eukaryota; Metazoa; Chordata; Mammalia; Rodentia; Muridae. The record is from RNAcentral.